AUUGAACGCUGGCGGCAUGCCUUACACAUGCAAGUCGAACGGUAACGGGCCUUCGGGUGCCGACGAGUGGCGAACGGGUGAGUAAUACAUCGGAACGUGCCCGAUCGUGGGGGAUAACGAGGCGAAAGCUUUGCUAAUACCGCAUACGAUCUACGGAUGAAAGCAGGGGACCGCAAGGCCUUGCGCGGACGGAGCGGCCGAUGGCAGAUUAGGUAGUUGGUGGGAUAAAAGCUUACCAAGCCGACGAUCUGUAGCUGGUCUGAGAGGAUGAUCAGCCACACUGGGACUGAGACACGGACCAGACUCCUACGGGAGGCAGCAGUGGGGAAUUUUGGACAAUGGGCGCAAGCCUGAUCCAGCCAUGCAGCGUGCAGGAUGAAGGCCUUCGGGUUGUAAACUGCUUUUGUACGGAACGAAAAGCCUUCUUUUAAUACAGGAGGGUCAUGACGGUACCGUAAGAAUAAGCACCGGCUAACUACGUG
Molecule: ribosomal RNA, 482 nt
Filed under: uncultured bacterium
Lineage: Bacteria
Description: partial 16S ribosomal RNA
Rfam family: Bacterial small subunit ribosomal RNA
Source: RNAcentral